CCUACGGGAGGCAGCAGUGAGGAAUAUUGGUCAAUGGACGAGAGUCUGAACCAGCCAAGUAGCGUGAAGGAUGACUGCCCUAUGGGUUGUAAACUUCUUUUAUAAAGGAAUAAAACGAGGCACGUGUGCCUUUUUGCAUGUACUUUAUGAAUAAGGAUCGGCUAACUCCGUGCCAGCAGCCGCGGUAAUACGGAGGAUCCGAGCGUUAUCCGGAUUUCUUGGGUUUAAAGGUAGUGUAGAUGGGUUUUUAAGUCAGUUGUGAAAGUUUGCGGCUCAACCGUAAAAUUGCAAUUGAUACUGGCAGUCUUGAGUACAGUUGAGGUAGGCGGAAUUCGUGGUGUAGCGGUGAAAUGCUUAGAUAUCACGAAGAACCCCGAUUGCGAAGGCAGCUUACUAAACUGUGACUGACAUUGAUGCUCGAAAGUGUGGGUAUCAAACAGGAUUAGAUACCCCUGUAGUC
Molecule: ribosomal RNA, 460 nt
Filed under: uncultured bacterium
Lineage: Bacteria
Description: partial 16S ribosomal RNA
Rfam family: Bacterial small subunit ribosomal RNA
Source: RNAcentral